UUUUGUAAUUUUGGUGUUGUUCAAAAUUCAUGUUGCAAUUUUGUAACUAUUUGCAAGUAUUAAGUUGCUACAAGAAAGAGAUUAUAUUAUUUGCAAUGGGAAAUGUAUUGUCAAUAAUGUGAACACAUAUUGUCUUGCAGAAUGUAUACUAUAAUUAUAUUUUGGCCAAAGACUUCUAUUAUUUAUUUUGUAGUUAUAUGAAACUUAUAUUGAUGUCAAUUGUAAUCAACAAUGUUAUUUAGAACCAACAUAUUUUAAUUUUUUAGUUUUAAAUUUAUUGAUCUAAAACCAUUUGUAAUGUGCAUGUGGUUAUUAUACAAUCCUAAAUGUCUUGUAGAAUUUAUUAUCUAGAGUUGAAAUUUUUAUUUACAAAAGUGGUUUAUAGUUAAAGUUUGUAUAUUUAUUUAUUUAUUUAUUUAUUUAUUUAUACUACAUUGACUUUUAAAUAAAAGAUAUAAACUUUGUGGUCAUAACGGUGUUAUUGUUGAUAAAAGACAAGAGCUCUAAAGAUGUUUAAGCAAAACUGAUGUUGAAUUUAAGAUAAUUAUUGUAAAAAUAUAAUCUUUUUAUUAUACAAAAUUCUUUUUUUAAUUGAAUAAAUUUAAGUAUUGGCUAUGUUGACAUAAAAAAAAAAUUAUUGAAAAUGUAAUGUGUACAUUGUUAAUACAAAUUAAGAAGUAGAUAAUAUAUUCCAUAUUAGAGAUUACAACAAUAAUUGAUAAUAUAGUCAUUAUGUUCUUUUACCCUUUUCAACUUUAUAAUUAAUAUUACAGAAUUUAUGCAAUCUACACCAAAUUUUAGUAGUAUAAUUGGAAAUAUUAUAUACAUAUAUACACACAUAUAUAUCAAAUUAACUUUAAUUUAAACAAUGUUUUUAUUUUUAGUAGAA
RNAcentral lists this long non-coding RNA (889 nucleotides) under Physcomitrium patens. RNAcentral describes it as "long non-coding RNA (PPAT_LNC001299)". Lineage: Eukaryota; Viridiplantae; Streptophyta; Bryopsida; Funariales; Funariaceae. The record is from RNAcentral.